This 403-nucleotide ribosomal RNA is filed under the name uncultured bacterium. Its description in RNAcentral is "partial 16S ribosomal RNA". It matches the Rfam family "Bacterial small subunit ribosomal RNA", at positions 28 to 526 of the family's 1533-position model. The record is from RNAcentral.
GACGAACGCUGGCGGCGUGCCUAAUACAUGCAAGUCGAACGCAGUGGGGACGGGUGAGUAACACGUGGGUAACCUCCCAUCAGAGGGGAAAACACUUGGAAACAGGUGCUAAACCGAGACGGAUGGAUGGACCCGCGGUGAAUUGGCUAGUUGGUGAGGUAACGGCCCACCAGGGCCACGAUGCAUAGCCGGCCGGAGAGGGUGAUCGGUCACACUGGGACUGAGACACGGUCCAGCCUCCUACGGGAGGCAGCAGUGGGGAAUCUUCGGCAAUGGACGAAAGUCUGACCGAGCAACGCCGCGUGAGUGAAGAAGGUUUUCGGGUCGUAAAACUCUGGUGUUAUGGAAGCGGUAUCGAAAGAGAAAGCCCCGGCUAACUACGUGCCAGCCGCCGCGGUAAUAG